UACGGGGGGGGCAAGCGUUGUUCGGAAUUACUGGGCGUAAAGGGCUCGUAGGUGGCCAACUAAGUCAGACGUGAAAUCCCUCGGCUUAACCGAGGAACUGCGUCCGAUACUGAAAGGCUUGAAUCCGGGAGAGGGAUGUGGAAUUCCAGGUGUAGCGGUGAAAUGCGUAGAUAUCUGGAGGAACACCGGUGGCGAAGGCGGCAUCCUGGACCGGUAUUGACGCUGAGGCGCGAAAGCUAGGGGAGCAAACGGG
This 253-nucleotide ribosomal RNA is filed under the name uncultured bacterium. Its description in RNAcentral is "partial 16S ribosomal RNA". It matches the Rfam family "Bacterial small subunit ribosomal RNA", at positions 524 to 776 of the family's 1533-position model. The record is from RNAcentral.